RNAcentral lists this ribosomal RNA (358 nucleotides) under uncultured eukaryote. RNAcentral describes it as "partial 18S ribosomal RNA". It matches the Rfam family "Eukaryotic small subunit ribosomal RNA", at positions 592 to 976 of the family's 1831-position model. The record is from RNAcentral.
CAAUAGCGUAUAUUAAAGUUGUUGCGGUUAAAAAGCUCGUAGUCGAAUUUCUGUCAUAUACGACCGAUCUACCUCUUGGUGUGAUCAGGACUGUGUGUGACAUCUUUCAGUAGAGUAUACGUAUUCCACUGAGCUAUUACUUUGAGGAAAUUAGAGUGUUUCUAGCAGGCGAACGUCUUGAAUACUUUAGCAUGGAAUAACAUUAUAAAGCUUUGGUUUAUCUUGUUGGUUUCUAGAGCCAAGGCGAUGAUUAAUAGGGAUAGUCGGGGGCAUUCGUAUUUAACUGUCAGAGGUGAAAUUCUUGGAUUUGUUGAAGACGAACUAUUGCGAAAGCAUUUGCCAAGGAUGUUUUCAUUGA